This 303-nucleotide long non-coding RNA is filed under the name Pan troglodytes (chimpanzee). RNAcentral describes it as "lincRNA". The record is from RNAcentral. Lineage: Eukaryota; Metazoa; Chordata; Mammalia; Primates; Hominidae.
AGUUUAGGCUCCUAGGAGAGUUGAUUCUGGCUGACGUGCUGCGACUGUCAUCUUUCAGAUCAGAGUAACUCUGAGUCUGGUGGGAGUGUCUUCCCCCGACACCCCUUAUACCCCCGCUUUAAGGUGAGAGAAUCUUCUGUCGGUGCUAGCGUUCAGCGGCUAACGGAGACCUCCUGCUUGAAGCCUGAAGUGUUCCAAGCAUGGAGAUGAUGGACGUGGUAUGGGACAAUCAGUGCACCCACAGGAGGGGACGGCGGGAACCAAGAUUGGAAGGAACAUUGCUCUCUGUGACUGAGUCUCCGU